CGAGUUAAAGCUUAAGAGUUAAGCAAUUUAUUUACAUUAAAUAGAAGUCGUGCAAAUCGAUAUAAUUUGA
This 70-nucleotide transfer RNA is filed under the name Leconectes striatellus. RNAcentral's name for it is "tRNA-Val". The record is from RNAcentral. Lineage: Eukaryota; Metazoa; Arthropoda; Insecta; Coleoptera; Dytiscidae.